This 460-nucleotide ribosomal RNA is filed under the name uncultured bacterium. RNAcentral's name for it is "partial 16S ribosomal RNA". It matches the Rfam family "Bacterial small subunit ribosomal RNA", at positions 338 to 795 of the family's 1533-position model. The record is from RNAcentral.
CCUACGGGAGGCAGCAGUGAGGAAUAUUGGUCAAUGGACGAGAGUCUGAACCAGCAAAGUAGCGUGAAGGAUGACUGCCCUAUGGGUUGUAAACUUCUUUUAUAUGGGAAUAAAACGUUCCACGUGUGGGAUUUUGUAUGUCCCAUAUGAAUAAGGAUCGGCUAACUCCGUGCCAGCAGCCGCGGUAAUACGGAGGAUCCGAGCGUUAUCCGGAUUUAUUGGGUGUAAGGGGAGCGUAGGUGGAUUGUUAAGUCAGUUGUGAAAGUUUGCGGCUCAACCGUAAAAUUGCAGUUGAAACUGGCAGUCUUGAGUACAGUAGAGGUGGGCGGAAUUCGUGGUGUAGCGGUGAAAUGCUUAGAUAUCCCGAAGAACUCCGAUUGCGAAGGCAGUUCACUGGACUGCAACUGACACUGAGGCUCGAAAGUGUGGGUAUCAAACAGGAUUAGAUACCCUGGUAGUC